AUUGAACGCUGGCGGCAGGCCUAACACAUGCAAGUCGAGCGGAUGAAGGGAGCUUGCUCCUGGAUUCAGCGGCGGACGGGUGAGUAAUGCCUAGGAAUCUGCCUGGUAGUGGGGGAUAACGUCCGGAAACGGGCGCUAAUACCGUAUACGUCCUGAGGGAGAAAGUGGGGGAUCUUCGGACCUCACGCUAUCAGAUGAGCCUAGGUCGGAUUAGCUAGUUGGUGGGGUAAAGGCCUACCAAGGCGACGAUCCGUAACUGGUCUGAGAGGAUGAUCAGUCACCCUGGAACUGAGACACGGUCCAGAAUCCUAAGGGAGGCAGCAGUGGGGAAUAUUGGACAAUGGGCGGAAGCCUGAUCCAGCCAUGCCGCGUGUGUGAAGAAGGUCUUCGGAUUGUAAAGCACUUUAAGUUGGGAGGAAGGGCAGUAAGUUAAUACCUUGCUGUUUUGACGUUACCAACAGAAUAAGCACCGGCUAACUUCGUG
Molecule: ribosomal RNA, 484 nt
Filed under: uncultured bacterium
Lineage: Bacteria
Description: partial 16S ribosomal RNA
Rfam family: Bacterial small subunit ribosomal RNA
Source: RNAcentral